UCUCAAGCGCUAGAAUUUACAGGUGUGUGUGUCACCACAUACAAUAUCCACAGCAGGUUUUUAUAAGAAUGCUCUGCUGUGGACAGCUGUCUCUCCUGGUCCUGUCCAGGUCUUUCAGUGGAAAGGAUGCUUGUGAGAAGACAGGAGAGCAGAUGAUUUCCUUCUGCGCUUCAGAAUAAAGUCUGAGAGGAGGCUGUGCUGAAUCCGUGGAUCCUCUUUAACGUCUUCACAGAUUUCGAGGGGAUAAGGCAGAUGAGUCAGAGGGUAAGAGUGGGGAUGAAGAAGAUGAGGCAGAGGAAGAAGAGGAUCGUAAGGAUGAAGAUGAGGAUUAAGACUGUUGAGAAGGAUCCAGCCUGGAUUCAGAACUCCUCAGCUGGGGAACGGUGGUAAUGAAGUGUUCCCGUAACACAGACUGUUGAGAAGGAUUCAACUGCGUGAAUUCAGAACUCUUCAGCUGGGGAACAGGGUACCCGUAAGUAUAGCUUUACAAGGUAAGUCUGGUCUUGAACUUUCUAACGAAAUUCAAGACAGUCUAUCAGAAGUAAAGUGGGAAAUAGCUUUACAAGGUAUGUUUGGCCUUGAACUUUCUCUAGUGUUAGGAGCCUUUUUGUUCCUUUUCACAUGUUAUCAAGUGGUUAAGGCAGGGCUGAAAAUUCUGGAUGAAAUUCAGGGCAAUCUAUCAGAAGUAAAGCGGGGAGAGAGAGUAGAAGCAAAGAGGAAAUAUGGCGCACAAAAUAAGUAUACAGGCCUUUCCACGGGUCUUGAACCCGAGGAAAAGUUUAGGUCAGAUAAGAAUACCUGGGGAGAGAUUAGAAGGAAGGAAAAGAAAAAAGAAAAGAAAAAAG
Molecule: long non-coding RNA, 845 nt
Organism: Mus musculus (house mouse)
Lineage: Eukaryota; Metazoa; Chordata; Mammalia; Rodentia; Muridae
Product: predicted gene, 53857
Exons: 3
Source: RefSeq, a predicted model, not a curated record